CGGGUGUUUCUACAAGACAGUGUGCAGAUUUUUCCUUAAGGAAAAAAAAGACGUUUCCUAGAUAAUCCUUCAGUUUAACUAAAGCCUUAGGUACAGGACUUUUGCUCUGACAUACAUUUUCACCACGAUCUUAAAUGAGGCAGAAACUCUUAGGAUUUCGGACCCGAUACUUUCUUCUCUCUCAGUCAGCACAAUUUCAGUUAAUAAUAGGAACCGAUGGGAGAAAAUUUGGGAAAUGUAAGGAAAACAGAAAUGGCGAGUGUGUCCCACCCGGAGAGAACGCAGAGAGUGCCCACGUUUCUCCUUCCAGGUGUAUGUGCCCACUAGAGAUGAAAUGACACGUCUGUGCAAAUCCUUGCACACGCGUGUUCCCAGCAGCUUCCUCCAUGAUUGCCGAAGACUGGGAACAACACAAAAAUCCAUCCACAGACUAAGGGAUCAAUAAAACGGGGAUCCAUCCAGACAGUGGAAUAUUAGUCGGCCAGGAAAAGGAGGGAGGCGCUGACACUCGCUGCAACAUGGAGAAACCUUGAGGACACGAUGCUCAGCGAGUGACAGACGCCAGACACCAAGGCCACCCAGCGUGUGACUCCAUUUACGGGAAACGUCCAGCACAGGCUCCUCCACAGACAGGAAGUGGGUGCGUGUUUCCCUGGGGUUGGGGACUUAGCGACACGAUCACUGACGACUGUGGCGUUUCUCUUUGGGGUGAUGAAAUGCUUUGGAAUGGAUUCUGGUGACGACGGCACAACCCUGUGAACACACUAAAAA
Molecule: long non-coding RNA, 771 nt
Organism: Rhinolophus ferrumequinum (greater horseshoe bat)
Lineage: Eukaryota; Metazoa; Chordata; Mammalia; Chiroptera; Rhinolophidae
Exons: 3
Source: RefSeq, a predicted model, not a curated record